Dermacentor albipictus is the source of this 602-nucleotide long non-coding RNA. RefSeq lists it as uncharacterized. The record is from RefSeq and is a predicted model, not a curated record. NCBI's taxonomy places the organism in Eukaryota, Metazoa, Arthropoda, Arachnida, Ixodida, Ixodidae.
GAAUAUGCAUCGACAGCGCGCCUGCGCUUUCAUUUGCGAACGUGACAAACGUCACGAAUAACAAGAGCGAAACUCUUAGGCGGCAGCCGGAGCAGUCGGAAUGAAAGCGCACACAGUAACCACGGUCGUGGUCGGCCUCGUCGCCUGUUUACUGCCAGCCAUCGCAGAGGGUCGAGUUGGACUACCGCACGCACGCAGGUGUGGCCCUGGCCAGCGCUACAUCUACUGCGGUAGCCGUGACUGUAGCGAGCUGACCUGCGAUCGCAUGACUCGGCCUGAAAACUGCAGCAUCGACUGCUUGUCUGGAUGCUUCUGCGCAGAGGAGCUCUACCGGAACAAGCACGGACACUGUGUUACAUUUGAUGAAUGUUUAGGGCGACCGCACCAUUCUCUCAGGCAUAAUGUUGGGUCUUCAGAAGAGUCUCGCGAUGUACCGUCGUUGACCUUGUAAAACAUGGACGAGAUAGGUCAAGACAGGCGGUCAAUAAUUGUGACGCGAGCACACAUUUUUUUAUUUUAAUUACGACCGUAAGACAUAUGGGACCUGAUCUUUAAAAAUAAAGGAAUGUGCUUGUGUUCGCAAUAAAACUCUUCUUUCAUGA